RNAcentral lists this ribosomal RNA (274 nucleotides) under uncultured prokaryote. Its description in RNAcentral is "partial 16S ribosomal RNA". It matches the Rfam family "Bacterial small subunit ribosomal RNA", at positions 524 to 798 of the family's 1533-position model. The record is from RNAcentral.
UACGGAGGAUCCGAGCGUUAUCCGGAUUUAUUGGGUUUAAAGGGUGCGCAGGCGGGGUAUUAAGUCGGCGGUGAAAUUUUGCAGCUCAACUGUAAAAGUGCCUUCGAAACUGGUUUCCUUGAGUGUAGAUGAAGUAGGCGGAAUUUGUGGUGUAGCGGUGAAAUGCAUAGAUAUCACGAGGAACUCCGAUUGCGCAGGCAGCUUACUAAACUACUACUGACGCUCAGGCACGAAGGCGUGGGGAUCAAACAGGAUUAGAUACCCGGUAGUCCCU